UUGGUGGUAGUAGCAAAUAUUCAAGUGAGAACCUUGAAGGCUGAAGUGGAGAAGGGUUCCAUGCGAACAGUGUUUGGACAUGGGUUAGUCGUUCCUAAGAGAUAGGGUAACGCCGUGUUAAGGAGCCCUUGUGGCUCGCCUAUCGAAAGGGAAUCGGGUUAACAUUCCCGAACCGGGAUGUGGAGAGUAAGCGGCAACGCAAAUGAACUUGAGGACGUCGGCGGGAGCCCCGGGCAAGGUUGUCUUUCUUGUUUAACGCGCCCAACGCCCUGGAACCAGAUUAUCUGGAGAUAG
RNAcentral lists this ribosomal RNA (294 nucleotides) under Isochrysis galbana. RNAcentral's name for it is "partial Eukaryotic large subunit ribosomal RNA". It matches the Rfam family "Eukaryotic large subunit ribosomal RNA", at positions 1451 to 1744 of the family's 3401-position model. The record is from RNAcentral. Lineage: Eukaryota; Haptophyta; Isochrysidales; Isochrysidaceae.